Long non-coding RNA from Arachis duranensis, 584 nucleotides. RefSeq lists it as uncharacterized. The record is from RefSeq and is a predicted model, not a curated record. NCBI's taxonomy places the organism in Eukaryota, Viridiplantae, Streptophyta, Magnoliopsida, Fabales, Fabaceae. The transcript is spliced from 3 exons.
CUUAGGUGAAAUGUCAGCAGUGUUCCUUUUGCUCCAACAAGUUUGAUCCAUUCUUAGAUCUAAGCCUCGAAAUUUUCAAGGCAGAAUCAUUGCAGAAAGCACUUGCAAAUUUCACUGCUGCAGAAUGGUUGGAUGGAGGGGAGAGGCAAUACAAUUGUCAAAGAUGCAAGCAGAAAGUUAGGGCUCUGAAACAGUUUACGGUUCAUAAGGCACCUUAUGUGUUAACUAUUCACUUAAAGCAGUUCCAUGCGCACAAUCCUGGACAGAAGAUUAAAAAGAAGGUUCAGUUUGACUGUGCUCUGGACCUAAAACCUUUUGUCAGGGGCUCAUAUAUCUCAAUGUUUUUCAAUACAGAUUACUGGUUGGCCAUUGGAGUUAAUGGCUUAUGCUUAUUUAGCUGUUAGUCCUCCAAGCAUGAUAGCGCAAUUUGAAGAGAUGGCUGCAGCAGCAUCAAAUAAAAGUACCGCCAAGAAAGAUUCGAGAUAUCCUGAAAUAGAGGAGCAAGUAUUGUGCGAAUCCAGUAUAUCAAAAUACAAUAAUUUCUUACAGGCAAGAAAACUUUUGAUGCCUUCAUCUCUUACUUU